GAUGAACGCUGGCGGCGCGCCUAACACAUGCAAGUCGAACGAUUAAAGCACCUUCGGGUGUGUAUAAAGUGGCGAACGGCUGAGUAACACGUGGGCAACCUGCCCCUUUCAUUUGGAUAGCCACGGGAAACCGUGGAUAAUACCGAAUACUUCGAGACUUCCGCAUGGAAGACCCGAGAAAGCUCCGGCGGAGCGGGAUGGGCGCGGGGCCUGUUAGCUUGUUGGUGGGGUAACGGCCUACCACGGCAAGGAGGGGUAGCUGGGUUGAGAGCUCGACCAGCCAGAUUGGGACUGAGAGACGGCCCAGACUGCUACGGGAGGCAGCAGUGGGGAAUCUUGCACAAUGGGCGAAAGCCUGAUGCAGCGACGCCGCGUGCGGGAUGAAGGCCUUCGGGUUGUAAACCGCUUUCAGCAGGGACGAGGCGAAAGUGACGGUACCUGCAGAAGAAGCCCCGGCUAACUACGUG
RNAcentral lists this ribosomal RNA (467 nucleotides) under uncultured bacterium. Its description in RNAcentral is "partial 16S ribosomal RNA". It matches the Rfam family "Bacterial small subunit ribosomal RNA", at positions 28 to 507 of the family's 1533-position model. The record is from RNAcentral.